This 293-nucleotide long non-coding RNA is filed under the name Elaeis guineensis (African oil palm). RNAcentral's name for it is "long non-coding RNA (EGUI_LNC040269)". The record is from RNAcentral. Lineage: Eukaryota; Viridiplantae; Streptophyta; Magnoliopsida; Arecales; Arecaceae.
AAUUAAGUUGUUCUCUAAGGACAAAACCAUGAAAAGAACGACUAACUAAUUGAUCUCUGAUUGGUCCCAUCCGAAACUGAGCCCAGCACUAGCUGUUAAGGAUAAUGACAAAUUAGACCAGGCUCUGGUGCUAUGAAGAAAAAGGAAAAAUGAAGCUGAGGUAUAUGUAGUUUUAUAACAAUUUUAGUCUUGCGGACGCUAUGAAUUUGCAUCUUCUAAACCAUUAUCUGGUCUCCACUUGCACUUCAUUAUCUCCAAGGAUAACAACUACCUGAUUUCUUUGACACAAGUCU